GACGAACGCUGGCGGCGUGCUUAACACAUGCAAGUCGAACGGAAAGGCCCUGCUUUUGUGGGGUGCUCGAGUGGCGAACGGGUGAGUAACACGUGAGUAACCUGCCCUCGACUUUGGGAUAACUUGAGGAAACUGGGGCUAAUACCGGAUAGGAGCUCCUGCUGCAUGGUGGGGGUUGGAAAGUUUCGGCGGUUGGGGAUGGACUCGCGGCUUAUCAGCUUGUUGGUGGGGUUGUGGAUUACCAAGGCUUUGACGGGUAGCCGGACUGAGAGGGUGACCGGCCACAUUGGGACUGAGAUACGGCCCAGACUCCUACGGGAGGCAGCAGUGGGGAGUAAUGCAUGAUGGACGGAAGCCUGAUGCAGCAACGCCGCGUGCGGGAUGACGGACUUCGGGUUGUAAGCCGCUUUCGCCUGUGACGAAGCGUAAGUGACGGUAAUGGGUAAAGAAGCACCGGCUAACUACGUG
Molecule: ribosomal RNA, 468 nt
Filed under: uncultured bacterium
Lineage: Bacteria
Description: partial 16S ribosomal RNA
Rfam family: Bacterial small subunit ribosomal RNA
Source: RNAcentral